UACUGCACGGGCCUGGCUCAACCCG
This 25-nucleotide small nuclear RNA is filed under the name Arabidopsis thaliana (thale cress). RNAcentral describes it as "snRNA_15282". The record is from RNAcentral. Lineage: Eukaryota; Viridiplantae; Streptophyta; Magnoliopsida; Brassicales; Brassicaceae.